GCUACGGGUGGCAGCAGUGAGGAAUAUUGGUCAAUGGGCGUAAGGCUGAACCAGCCAAGUAGCGUGAGGGAUGACUGCCCUAUGGGUUGUAAACCUCUUUUAUGCGGGGAUAAAGGUGUACACGUGUGGCUGUUUGCAGGUACCGCAUGAAUAAGGAUCGGCUAAUUCCGUGCCAGCAGCCGCGGUAAUACGGAAGGUCCGGGCGUUAUCCGGAUUUAUUGGGUUUAAAGGGUGCGUAGGCCGGUAUUUAAGUGGGCGGUGAAAUUUUGUGGCUCAACCAUGGAAGUGCGGCGCGAACUGGGGACCUUGAGUGUGCGUAAGGCAGGCGGAAUGCGUGGUGUAGCGGUGAAAUGCUUAGAUAUCACGAAGAACCCCGAUUGCGAAGGCAGCCUGCCGCGGCGUUACUGACGCUGAAGCUCGAAAGCGCGUGUAUCGAACAGGAUUAGAUACCCGUGUAGUC
This 460-nucleotide ribosomal RNA is filed under the name uncultured bacterium. RNAcentral's name for it is "partial 16S ribosomal RNA". It matches the Rfam family "Bacterial small subunit ribosomal RNA", at positions 338 to 795 of the family's 1533-position model. The record is from RNAcentral.